UGGUGUGUAUAUGAUUCAUAUGAGUCACAGAUAAAUUAUUCUAAGCAGGAUACAGUCCAGAAUCCAGCUGAGAAUAAUGUGCUAAUACUGCAGCUUUGGAACAUAUGUUACUGUAUAGAAUGAUUGAUUUGAAAGCAGUGUUCCGGGAAGCGACUUUAAUUUUAAGUACCCCCUGUGCUAAUGAACUGAGCAAAUUCCACAUUGAUAACCUUGGGUUUUCUUGGAUAUGACUGCGGAGUUCUUCCCAAAAUAUGGAGGCUAUUCCCAUGCCCACUUUACAGAUUUUGCCUAAUUGGGCAUGACAAUGAGAAAACCCACAUGGAUUUAUUUUCUAGAUACUUCUUCCAUGCAAAAUGAGAAACGCUCUUCUUCUAUCUGCUUGGGAGCAUAUAGUGCACAACACGGGCCAAUGAACACAGAAUUCUGGUGGACCUACUAUGCCUGGGAUUUCAGUGAGACUCAAAGUGAGUGCAAGUCACCAUCAUAAAGAUUCAAUAUUCAAGACCACGAAGAAGAACCCAGACCAGGGAUUGCUUCAUUUGGAUUCCACCUACCGCAGUUGUUACAUCUAAGUAGGGACAACGAAAAUCUCCUGCUAUGGUCUUGAUCCUAGUCAGUAAAAGAGCAAAUUCCAAGCCUCCUAAGGGGCAUUUUCAUCCUUCCCCAUCUGUCCUUACAGAUAAGGAAGAGAUUCCAGGAAUGACUCGGUUCCUGGAACCUAGAAUUAGUCCCCCUUGUUUUCUUUAUCUAUCCAAAUCCUGUCUUAGGGAUCAACUUUCACAAGCUUUCUCUCCUUAAAGACUUUCACCUCGAAUUACCUUUUUUUUUUGUCAUAUUCCUAUUCCUAUCUGGAGUCACACUCUUGAGAACCUUCUAUACUUUCGUCAUGCAUUUAUUAGCAGAUAUCUAUAAAGUUCCUACAGUGUGUCAGGCACUGUGCUAGGCGCUAGUGCAACAAUGAUGAAUGCUAUACACAUCCACCUCACCCUUUUAUAGUUUAUAGUAUCAUGGGGAGAUGGAGAAGUAGAUGCUCAAUAAACACAUUUUGUCUGAUGGGUAUACCUUGAAACAGCAAAAGUAAAGUCUGUUUCAUCA
This 1095-nucleotide long non-coding RNA is filed under the name Homo sapiens (human). Its description in RNAcentral is "HSALNT0342599". The record is from RNAcentral. Lineage: Eukaryota; Metazoa; Chordata; Mammalia; Primates; Hominidae.